Molecule: ribosomal RNA, 414 nt
Filed under: uncultured bacterium
Lineage: Bacteria
Description: bacterial SSU rRNA
Rfam family: Bacterial small subunit ribosomal RNA
Source: RNAcentral
AACGAACGCUGGCGGCAUGCCUAACACAUGCAAGUCGAACGAGACCUUCGGGUCGUAGUGGCGCACGGAUGCGUAACGCGUGGGAAUCUGCCCUUGGGUUCGGAAUAACUCAGAGAAAUUUGAGCUAAUACCGGAUGAUGACGUAAGUCCAAAGAUUAUCGCCCAAGGAUGAGCCCGCGUAGGAUAGCUAGUUGGUGAGGUAAAGGCUCACCAAGCGACGAUCCUUAGCUGGUCUGAGAGGAUGAUCAGCCACACUGGGACUGAGACACGGCCCAGACUCCUACGGGAGGCAGCAGUGGGGAAUAUUGGACAAUGGGCGAAAGCCUGAUCCAGCAAUGCCGCGUGAGUGAUGAAGGCCUUAGGGGUUGUAAAGCUCUUUUACCCGGGGAUGAUAAUGACAGUACCGGAGAAUAA